AAAAAAUCACAAAUUUUAUUAAUUUUAUUGUUGUGUCUAAUAUAGAAACAACUUGUGUUGUAAAAGAAAAGAUGACAGCAUAUCUCUUUAAAACGUGCCAGUAUAGGCCCUGACUGCACGCGAGAACAUUUGAAUUAUCUGGCACGAGGCCUCACACGUCAUACUUCAACUGACACAACGGUCUCGAUGGUAGGAACAAGCAAAAGCUCCUUUAAAUUUCGUCAUUUUUUAUACACAUCCUGUUUAUUUUGUAGUUAAUUGUUAGAUAAGUUAGUAAUUUCGUCAAGUUUUCGUUACAAGGUAAGAUUUCGUUACCAUAUACAGUAAAUAUUGGUUCAAGAGGGCAGUUUGAUAACUCAUUCGAGGUUUGUAAAUGGGGUUUCUGUUCCUGCAGUCUUUCAGCGGUGCUGCCGCGUAUGACGAUGCGGACAUGAACAGCACACUACAGUAUACCGCCACCUACUCCUUUAAACAUCUAAACAUGUCCUCCAAAAAGGAAAAGGGAAAAAACAUUGGAAAACAAUUUUAGCCUAAGGUUUCCUGUGCUGUUUUGCUCCAUUUUACUGAACAAAAUAAGGCUGAGGUAGCACCAUCCUUGUGGUUAGAGUGAAAGAACGUGUGUAUUGAGACCAAAAUAAACAAUGUGCCAUUCUGGACAAACAGCUGUGGACAAUAUAUGCAGUCAGAGUAGCCUAUUUUCUCACACAGACCUGAAGAUAAGAUUUCCAGUUUAAAAGUGAAGAAAAUGAAUCAUUAUUAACAGCAAUUAGGAGUAUUUCUCAGCUGAAAAGCCAGUUUAUGCACAAUCACAAAUGCAGCACAUCAAUCAAUUUCUUCCAACCAGCGAAUCAAGAAAUCUUGGAGUGGAGAAUCAUUCUGAAAGUAGACCAAAUCCAGGACAACAUCACAGCAGUGGUCGGAAAAAUGCAGCAAGCCAAGCUGACUUUCAAAAGAUGAUUCGUUAUCUGUUUCUUCAGAGGGGAGGCAGUUUGGGAGAUGGGAAUUAGGAGGAUGCUACAGUUACACAGGGCGAAUUUCAGCAGCUCAGUUUCAAACUUGCAACUAACAAUGAAUUAUAUUAGAAGACCACGGAAAUAUUUGACAUCGGAGUCCAGCAGACAGCCAGAGACACGCACACACACGCAGCUGAAGCGCGUGACGCGUACGGGAGAUCCGGCACGCGCACGGGAGCUUGCGCACGCUCACACAAACACGGAGCACAGGAUAAUUACAACUGUUUAAUUAAAAAUAAAAGAACUUUGUUGUAUACAA
This is a non-coding RNA of Misgurnus anguillicaudatus (oriental weatherfish), 1272 nucleotides long. The record is from RefSeq and is a predicted model, not a curated record. NCBI's taxonomy places the organism in Eukaryota, Metazoa, Chordata, Actinopteri, Cypriniformes, Cobitidae.